This 336-nucleotide ribosomal RNA is filed under the name Triticum aestivum (bread wheat). RNAcentral describes it as "partial small subunit ribosomal RNA". The record is from RNAcentral. Lineage: Eukaryota; Viridiplantae; Streptophyta; Magnoliopsida; Poales; Poaceae.
AUGGCGGAACGAAAAGGGUGCCACGACAACAUAUCGGUUCUGGUAACUCAAUUGAGAUACCGAUUCAAAAGAGAAGUGUGCAGAUGUGUGGAACACGCAAGAGAUGGAGGAAGACUCGCAGUGGUGGUGCGCUCUGCAACUGGAGGAGCAGAGGAUGUCAACGGAUGGGCAUUGGCACACACGCACGCGGAGGGCAAGGUGAGCAGGUGGCGUCCAUGGCUCCAUGCCCCGGAGAAGCAGCGGGGACCAAUGCGGGAGACAGGAAUGAGGCCACAGGGAGGCGACGAGGAGGUCGCCGGCGCGGGCAUCUGGCGAGAUGGCUCGGCGGUGGCCUGA